This 447-nucleotide ribosomal RNA is filed under the name uncultured bacterium. RNAcentral describes it as "partial 16S ribosomal RNA". It matches the Rfam family "Bacterial small subunit ribosomal RNA", at positions 28 to 523 of the family's 1533-position model. The record is from RNAcentral.
GAUGAACGCUGGCGGCAGGCUUAACACAUGCAAGUCGAGCGCCCCGCAAGGGGGGCGGCAGACGGGUGAGUAACGCGUGGGAACGUGCCCUUUGCUACGGAAUAGCUCCGGGAAACUGGGAUUAAUACCGGAUGAGCCCUACGGGGGAACGAUUUAUCGGCAAAGGAUCGGCCCGCGUUGGAUUAGCUAAUUGGUGGGGUAAAGGUCUACCAAGGCGACGAUCAAUAGCUGGUCUGAGAGGAUGAGCAGCCACAUUGGGACUGAGACACGGCCCAAACUCUUACGGGAGGCAGCAGUGGGGAAUAUUGGACAAUGGGCGCAAGCCUGAUCCAGCCAUGCCGCGUGAGUGAUGAAUGCCUUAGGGUUGUAAAGCUCUUUCACCGGAGAAGAUAAUGACGGUAUCCGGAGAAGAAGCCCCGGCUAACUUCGUGCCAGCAGCCGCCGUAA